Long non-coding RNA from Bradysia coprophila, 166 nucleotides. Lineage: Eukaryota; Metazoa; Arthropoda; Insecta; Diptera; Sciaridae. The record is from RefSeq and is a predicted model, not a curated record.
UGCAUAACUCUGUAAAAUUGGUUCACUGCGAUUAUAUAUCUCAGUAGCCGAAUGGUUAGAAGUGUUGCUCGAUAAGCAUUGGGUUUUGGUGUUGGUGGUUCGAAAUUUGCUCAGGGCAGAAUUUUUAUUUACGGUUAAUGGUUCAGAUUCGAUUUGUAACUCAAAA